GCCUACGGGAGGCAGCAGUGAGGAAUAUUGGUCAAUGGGCGGGAGCCUGAACCAGCCAAGUCGCGUGAGGGAUGGCGGCCCUAUGGGUUGUAAACCUCUUUUGCCGGGGAGCAAAGUGCCGCACGUGUGCGGUUUGGAGAGUACCCGGAGAAAAAGCAUCGGCUAACUACGUGCCAGCAGCCGCGGUAAUACGUAGGUGGCGAGCGUUAUCCGGAAUGAUUGGGCGUAAAGGGUGCGUAGGCGGCCUGCUAAGUCUGGAGUGAAAGGUACCGGCUCAACCGGUACAGGCUCUGGAAACUGGCGGG
Molecule: ribosomal RNA, 305 nt
Filed under: uncultured bacterium
Lineage: Bacteria
Description: bacterial SSU rRNA
Rfam family: Bacterial small subunit ribosomal RNA
Source: RNAcentral